Molecule: long non-coding RNA, 1214 nt
Organism: Onychostoma macrolepis
Lineage: Eukaryota; Metazoa; Chordata; Actinopteri; Cypriniformes; Cyprinidae
Exons: 4
Source: RefSeq, a predicted model, not a curated record
CAGCAGGAGCCAAAUGAUGCAGACAGAUCCAAAGGUUCCUGUCCCUUUCUGUGACGCACAUGACAGAGUCAAAUCAAUGAGAUGAGGCUGAAUCAAUGAGAUGUCAACGACGUCUUAUCAUUGUCUGCUGCAGCUUGACGGUGAUCUCACAGCUGCAGUGAUUCACAAGAAAGGCAGUUUGAGAUUUGAACUCGGCUGAUGGAGAGAGCUGCCCUAUUGCUCUGUGCACCUGGUCAAGGGGAGAUAUUCCUGAUAAACUGCUGAAGGAAAGGUGGUUAUAAUAUGACCACACAAAGUAAAGGGGAGAAAAAAAAAGACAAAUAUAGAAGACAAAGCUGAGAAAUGAAACCCAACGUCGUGCUGAGCGAGAGAAGAUGGUCGCUCACCUCCGAUUUUCCGGAAACCCAUUUCCAAUCUACUAAUCCUGCUCUCGCACAGUAUGAGUCAUCUACCACACGGAGCAGCACAGCUCCAACUGCAUUCUCUACAGGGCAAGAAGGGCAGGAGACCGCAUUUAGUUUUGAGUUUCUUCCUGAAAAACUGCUGAUGUAUGUUUCCACCUCUUUACCACUGCUUUCACCUUCCCAGGCUUAUGAUUCAUGCUUCCUGUGAUUCCAGACCUGGUUUUUGCAUGCCAAAAAAGGUCUGAAGGAGGCGAAAGCAUAACAGUGGGGUGGAGGCGGCCUGCGUGGUGGGAUUCAAAGCAGAUGCCCUUUCCCCUGGAAGGCCCCUCCUCUCGGAGCCACACAGAUCACAGGAGUUCCCUCUCAGGCCCCGUCAGACCCCUCACGCUCUAACAUUUACACUAAAUUACCAAGCUUCAAAGUGCACUGUAUGUACCCAGACUGAAAUGAUUAAGUCAUAGAUCCUGAAAAAACCACCAGGAUUCAAUUUCAUUGUGGAAUUUUGCUUGCAUUGUGAUUAAUGGAAGUGAUUUGUUCGGUAAGCCGAUCUAAAUCUAAUUUAGACUUUAAUAGGGUCUUUUCCAAUAAUUGCACAAUUGCGGCAACUCCAAAUAAAUGAUACAAUCAGCAAACGUCAAAUUGUAUUUACAUUUCUACCCUUAUUACCAUAGACAGCUAUAUUAAUUGUGUUGGGUUUUCUCCAUAUUGUGACUCUUUGUUCUUGAGCAGACAUGUUUUCACUGCAACGCUGAUACAUGAACAUGUGCGUACAACUUUUUUUCUUUUACUUGAAGAGCAAAUUAAACUUUC